Molecule: ribosomal RNA, 440 nt
Filed under: uncultured bacterium
Lineage: Bacteria
Description: partial 16S ribosomal RNA
Rfam family: Bacterial small subunit ribosomal RNA
Source: RNAcentral
CUACGGGAGGCUCCAGUGAGGAAUAUUGCACAAUGGGGGGAACCCUGAUGCAGCAACGCCGCGUGGAGGAUGACGCAUUUCGGUGUGUAAACUCCUUUUAUAUGUCAAGAAAAUGACGGUAGCAUAUGAAUAAGCACCGGCUAACUCCGUGCCAGGCAGCCGCGGUAAUACGGAGGGUGCAAGCGUUACUCGGAAUCACUGGGCGUAAAGGACGCGUAGGCGGGUUGGAAAGUCAGGUGUGAAAUCCUAUAGCUUAACUGUAGAACUGCACUUGAAACUUCUAAUCUAGAGUAUGGGAGGGGGAGAUGGAAUUAGUGGUGUAGGGGUAAAAUCCGUAGAUAUCACUAGGAAUACCUAAAGCGAAGGCGAUCUCCUGGAACAUUACUGACGCUAAGGCGUGAAAGCGUGGGGAGCAAACAGGAUUAGAUACCCGUGUAGUC